This 482-nucleotide ribosomal RNA is filed under the name uncultured bacterium. Its description in RNAcentral is "partial 16S ribosomal RNA". It matches the Rfam family "Bacterial small subunit ribosomal RNA", at positions 28 to 523 of the family's 1533-position model. The record is from RNAcentral.
GACGAACGCUGGAGGCGUGCUUAACACAAGCAAGUCGAACGAUGAAAUGGAGCUUGCUCCAUGGAUUAGUGGCGAACGGGUGAGUAACACGUGAAUAACCUGCCCUUAAUUUUGGAAUAACUCAGGGAAACCUGGGCUAAUACCGGAUAAGUAAACCUGUGGCAUCACAUGGUUUUGGAAAGUUUUUCGAUUAAGGAUGGAUUCGCGGCCUAUCAGCUUGGUGGUGAGGUAAGGGCUCACCAAGGCGACGACGGGUAGCCGGCCUGAGAGGGUGAACGGCCACACUGGGACUGAGACACGGCCCAGACUCCUACGGGAGGCAGCAGUGGGGAAUAUUGCGCAAUGGACGAAAGUCUGACGCAGCGACGCCUCGUGAGGGACGAAGGUCUUCGGAUUGUAAACCUCUUUGAGCAGGGACGAAGCGAAAGUGACGGUACCUGCAGAAGAAGCACCGGCUAACUAUGUGCCAGCCGCCGCCGUAA